CGGCGGGUGCUACUCAUGCAGUCGAACGAGAACGGUUCCUUCGGGGAUUUAGUAAAGUGGCGAACGGGUGAGUAACGCGUGGAUGAUCUUGCCCUCAAGUGGGGGAUAACUCGGGGAAACCCGGGCUAAUACCGCAUAAGCCCUACGGGGGAAAAGUAUAUAUAUUGCUUGAGGAGGAGUCCGCGUCCGAUUAGCUAGCUGGUGAGGUAAGAGCUCACCAAGGCGACGAUUGGUAGCCGGUCUGAGAGGACGGACGGCCACACUGGAACUGAGACACGGUCCAGACUCCUACGGGAGGCAGCAGUGGGGAAUUUUGGGCAAUGGGGGAAACCCUGACCCAGCAACGCCGCGUGGAGGAAGAAGGUUUUCGGAUCGUAAACUCCUGUCCCGAGGGACGAAGCAAGUGACGGUACCUCGGGAGGAAGCCCCGGCUAACUCCGUGCCAGCAGCCGCGGUAAUACGGGGGGGGCAAGCGUUGUUCGGAAUUACUGGGCGUAAAGGGCGCGCAGGCGGUUUCGUCAGUCAUGGGUGAAAGCCCCGGGCUCAACCCGGGAAUGGCCUGUGAAACCACGGAACUGGAGUGCUGGAGAGGGAAGCGGAAUUCCCAGUGUAGCGGUGAAAUGCGUAGAUAUUGGGAGGAACAUCGGUGGCGAAGGCGGCUUCCUGGACAGACACUGACGCUGAGGCGCGAAAGCCAGGGGAGCGAACGGGAUUAGAUACCCCGGUAGUCCUGGCUGUAAACGAUGAAUACUUGGUGUAGGGGGUAGGAAAGUCCCUCUGUGCCGCAGAGAACUCGAUAAGUAUUCCGCCUGGGGAGUACGGCCGCAAGGCUGAAACUCAAAGGAAUUGACGGGGGCCCGCACAAGCGGUGGAGCAUGUGGUUUAAUUCGACGCAACGCGAAGAACCUUACCGGGGUUUGAACUCGGCCGGCGACCUCUAAAAAUAGGGGGUUCCUUUCGGGGACAGGUCGAAAGGUGCUGCAUGGCUGUCGUCAGCUCG
Molecule: ribosomal RNA, 1000 nt
Filed under: uncultured bacterium
Lineage: Bacteria
Description: bacterial SSU rRNA
Rfam family: Bacterial small subunit ribosomal RNA
Source: RNAcentral